GAGGCGUUGAGCUAACCAAUACUAAUUGCCCGUGAGGCUUGACCAUAUAACACCCAAGCAAUU
This 63-nucleotide ribosomal RNA is filed under the name Pseudomonas fluorescens. RNAcentral's name for it is "partial 23S ribosomal RNA". RNAcentral also lists the same sequence under 3 other names. Lineage: Bacteria; Pseudomonadati; Pseudomonadota; Gammaproteobacteria; Pseudomonadales; Pseudomonadaceae. The record is from RNAcentral.